GAUGAACGCUGGCGGCGUGCCUAAUACAUGCAAGUCGAGCGAACAGACGAGGAGCUUGCUCCUCUGACGUUAGCGGCGGACGGGUGAGUAACACGUGGAUAACCUACCUAUAAGACUGGGAUAACUUCGGGAAACCGGAGCUAAUACCGGAUAAUAUAUUGAACCGCAUGGUUCAAUAGUGAAAGACGGUUUUGCUGUCACUUAUAGAUGGAUCCGCGCCGCAUUAGCUAGUUGGUAAGGUAACGGCUUACCAAGGCAACGAUGCGUAGCCGACCUGAGAGGGUGAUCGGCCACACAGGAACUGAAGCACGGUCCAGACUCCUACGGAAGGCAACAGAAGGGAAUCUUCCGCAAUGGGCGAAAGCUUGACGGAGCAACGCCGCGUGAGUGAUGAAGGUCUUCGGAUCGUAAAACUCUGUUAUUAGGGAAGAACAAAUGUGUAAGUAACUAUACACGUCUUGACGGUACCUAAUCAGAAAGCCACGGCUAACUACGUG
Molecule: ribosomal RNA, 497 nt
Filed under: uncultured bacterium
Lineage: Bacteria
Description: partial 16S ribosomal RNA
Rfam family: Bacterial small subunit ribosomal RNA
Source: RNAcentral